AAUAAUUGAAACUUGAUGAAAUUCUAUUUAUAUAUUAGAAUUUAUGUCUUUUCACUUUUCAUUAGAUGACGAUAAUAAGGUGUUAAUGGAUUUGGAAGUUUUAGGGUGUACCAAGGAGUGAGAAUUUCUGAAAAUAUCGAGGGACUUAAUCUGACGAAUCCACGGGCAAUUUAAUCGCGUAUAAAGUUUAAAAUAACUUCUAUACUUGAGUGUCUUGGAGAUUUCUGAAGGAACCUGUAAUCUUGAUGAAUUUAAGGAGCUGGCAAUUUUCGCGAAGCUAAUUCUGCUCUUGAGGGAAGCACAACUUUUGCUCCAUUUCGUCAGUCUUAAACAAACACUUAUAGAAAUCGUUUUAUUUCAUUCUUAGUUAAUUUAUAUAGAUUAAUUUAAAUAAUUUGUUUUAGAACAUUCGAAGAUUACAAGGGAAAACACAUGUCUUCAUUGUAUCAUGGUAAUGCUAUAAUUUCAUUGAUCUUGAUGUUAUUCUGUGAUUAAAAGGAUAUACUUUGAUAUGACACAGUUAAAGAUAGGAAAAACCCAUUUAGUCUAAAGGUGUAACUGAUUAAAAAUAUGUGACAAGUCCAUAAAGAUUUAUGAAAAAAUUAACUUACCAUAAUAAUUUUGAGAAACCAAUAUAUUUGAUGAUAUCACUCAUAACCAAUUUUAAUAAAAAGACAAAUUUGUUUUCUUUUAGUAGAGGUGUCGCAUUUAGGAAAUGAAUUUAACAGUGCCAUAUCAGACAUUGGCGGAGCCCCGAGUCGCCAAAUGGACGAUAAUACGAACCAAUCGGCAGGACGUACUUGAUGAACGUAAUAAUCGAUCGGUUGAGACAUUUGACACACUUUUCCAGCCAGACAACGAUUAAUUUUCGUCGAUGCAAAUCUGUACUAAGUGAUGGGACGAAAACGUGGAAAUGGCACAGGGCGAAGAGGAGAAUUGAUACGGUGUUGGUAGCUCGUGUGCGUGACGUGGAAAGCACACGCGAGCACACGCUCACGCUGCUCGCGUGUCAACUACCGUAACCCUCGAGUACAUCGGGGGUUUCACGAUGGACGGGGUCGCGGCUGAAAGGAAGGGGCUGAAAAAAGGUGUGAAUGCCGGAUGGCAUUCAUUCAAAUGCCGUCCAAUCACAGCAUCGUACUCCAGGUCGAGUAGCAGGGCCGGCAUGCAUCAGGAAUUAUUAAGUCCUCGCGAUUCCCUGUUGCGUUAACGAGCCAAAUUAACUCAAACCGAGAAGAAAAACCGUCUGCGAUGUAAACUGGAUAAAUAUUGUAUUAAUUAUUGCUGCAUUGCGUAUUCUGUUAACCACGCCGAAGUGGAUGUUCUAAAAGGAAGCUUUAUGCUUAUAAAAUAGAAAUUUAAGACUAUUUUAAAGAUUGGUUUGGAAAAAGGAUGAGCAAAUUUAGAGUAAGAAGGAUUGUAUUUGAGUGAGAUUUCAACAAAUCAAAUAAGACAGAAACUGGAAUGAAAAGUCGUGGCAUUAAAUCAAGUAGAUCUGCUAAUUUCCUGUGGAUCAAUUUUGUAUAGUUAAUUGCAUUUUAAUUUUUGUUGCACAGUAUAAAUUGGUCUGGAAGCGUAAACAAAGCAAUGGACAGUAUGUCGAACGGUAUUUUGUUAGAAUAAGGAUAUUUCUGAUAAGAUAUAAACAAAAAGCAGAGCCAGAAAUGUGUGGCUAUAUUUGAAUAGCAAAGCGUGUGUUACAUUGAAGAAGAUAAAAAUGAAGAUUGAAGAUAAGAAUAAGGUUCUGCAGUUUCAGUUAGACACCGCUCUGAAAUUUAUGAAUCAAAUAGAGAGGAUCCGGCUCGACUCGCCGUGGCAACGUCUUUCUGCCGAGUGUUUUUGACACGAGGCGGUCUCUCCAAUCGAUCCAGGCUAGAAUAGCCGAACCGGAAGUGGGACGUUUAGGCUCGAUGGGAAUGACAACGAAGAGAGAGCGACUUAACUUUGGAUCACGACGGGGCCCUCUCGCUGUGAAUCACUCGAACGAAUUUCCUCGAUAAGAUAGCUAGCUCUCCUCCCAGCCGCCUAUUCUUCCAUGCGAGAAUUACUUUCGUUCAACGAAGGAGAGGCGAUUCUUCUACUUAAGAAUUAAUUGAAAGGGAAACGAAUCGUCGACGUUGAUCGAACGAGGAUCUAGAAGACAUCAGCUUCUUCCAUGAACCAUCCUGUUUCAUCUCUUUCAUAAGUUAUUAAAUAGAUAAAAAAGAAGAGCGUCAAGAGAAAUUGCUAUUAUAAUUUUGGUAGAUUAAUUUACGGUUAUGUGUAUUUCAUUUGUUAGAAUACUAGUAGGAUUGUUCAUACUUAAGAUGUGGCCAAAAUAUUCGGUUCAUACGUACUCGCGUAAUUGUUUUCGUGGUAUAAGUUUAAAAGAAGAACUUCUUCUUUAGAAGAGAUGGAACGGAUUCUGUGAGAAAAAUGAAAUGAUACUUAUACUUUUGUUAAAUUCUGCGAUACUGCAACUGCACAGAAUUUUUUAAACGCUGUCUUAGAGAACUGAUUAUUUAAAUCAUGAAAAUAAGUAAAAAUAUGGAAAUUUAAUGGUUGAACUAUUUAAUUUUAUUAAUAUCUUCAGAUCUACUGAACGAAGAUCGAUUAGCCUUGAUAUUUCCAAAAGAACUGCUAUAAUCUGGAAUAUAAUUAAUUUCUAUAAAGAAAUUCUAAUUUAAUCUAACAAUGAAAAAAUGUUUCAUUUAAUUUUAAUUUAAUAAUUGAAGAUUGCUGUGGAUUAAUAUUAAAAGAACAAUAAGAGAAGAUAAAUUCUCUCUAGCAAAGAGAAUCUUAUUAAUUCCACUUAAUAUUUCUAAAUAGAUUUCAAGUAUCAAUUUGAACAAUAACUUACUAGGCCACAAUUGGUGUGGUUAGAGGCAUCAGUGAAGCAGGAUGAAGGUAGAUCCCGUUUCACGUUCAGGUUUUCUGGUGUCUACGGUUGAAACUGAUAUACUCUGAGCUGAAAGACAAGUAACUUUCAUCGAUCUUGUUCGGUGAUCCCGUCAUCCCCCAGUGGCGAGGAUCUCCCUCUCGUUUUUGCGUUUAAUUGCUCGUCACGACGACGAGCGUCGAACCCGAAUAAAUUUGAAAGCUGUUCACGGGGAAUUUUAUUGAACGUCCGGCAGAAACUCUGCGACGAUUCUCACCGUUAUUAACGUAUCCAUUCUGGCCGCGUUUUACUCUCAAACUAUAAGGAAAUUAAGCAGCUGUUUCACUGAAAUGAAAGAAAAUAUGUUGCAAUCUGAUAAAACAGUUUCCAUCUCAACUGACAUAACGUCAGAACAAUUUUCAUCCGAGUCAUUCUUUCUGUUAAAAAAAUUAAUUUUCUAGAAAGAAGAUUGUGACCAAGUUUAACUAAGUGUUAUGUCUCUUGGAGGUCACAUUUUAGGAGAAAAAAUUAUUGUUAUUGAGAUGUAUAUUGUUAAAAUUUAAUAUUAAUUAUAAAUUAUUAUUAUAGAAAUUAUAGAUAAUUGUAGAUCAAGAAGGGACUUGUGUAAUACGAUGAAAGUUUUGUUUAAAACGUUGAACUGUGCAUCGAAUAGAGAUUAAAGUUAUUGUUCCGUUUUUGGAAAGAGGGAAAACAUAGACAAAGGUGAUUUUCGUUAUGAGCUGCUCAGUGAUUUUCGUGGCUGGCACAAACCACUAGAUUCCUGUUCAUGUUAAGGUUCUGUAUAUUUUCAGUGACUUCUGUCAGAGAGUAGUAUGACAAUUGGCAGCUGAUUGCGAUCUUGCACCCCUGUUGGGAGGGAAAGGAGAAAAAAUUAGCGACGUAGGAGGCAAUCAACGUGUCUGUGAAGUAGCGUGGCCCUAGGUUUUGCGGCUGUAUCGACCUAAUAGUCCGUAGUUCGCGGCAGCUCGUAAAAUACGGCGAUUACACGACGUGAUUUCGAGGAAAACCAUAAUAGCCGACCCUGACCGUCGAGAAAUCGUUCCAUCGGAACGAACAGUUCAGAAGAUCCUCCCUUUGCAAUUUAUCGAUGCUGCAAUUCGGCUCUCCAACCUAUCCAACCUUCAGAAACUGACGAAUUUUCUAAAAGGCCCAUAUAAAACGUGUCUUGCUUGUCGAAAUGAUCAAUUCAUAGAAACUUUGGUAAUUUACAUUGGUGUAUUUUUGCA
Long non-coding RNA from Bombus pyrosoma, 4104 nucleotides. RefSeq lists it as uncharacterized. The record is from RefSeq and is a predicted model, not a curated record. The transcript has 4 exons. NCBI's taxonomy places the organism in Eukaryota, Metazoa, Arthropoda, Insecta, Hymenoptera, Apidae.